Mus musculus (house mouse) is the source of this 1634-nucleotide long non-coding RNA. RefSeq annotates it as RIKEN cDNA 9030622O22 gene. The transcript is spliced from 10 exons. The record is from RefSeq and is marked validated. Lineage: Eukaryota; Metazoa; Chordata; Mammalia; Rodentia; Muridae.
CUGGACUUACCUGGAAGUACCUUGAAGCUACUGUCUAUUUUUUUUCCUUCCCCAUAAGCCUAAGGUGUGGGGAAGGCUCCCUCUCUGGAGGAGCAGGUCGGAAGACCUCGGUGCAAAAGCAGGGACCCCCUGGCUGACCCUGUUCUCCCUCUGCAAAAUAAAGGAACCCCACCGGUGCAGAACCGUGCCACUGCACCCAUAAGACAGCCCGAGGCUCCUGGCAGACCCUACUGGGAAUUACACAGCAAGAUGGCUUUCCCUACUCCAUCGUGGCUAGAGCCUCUGCAAGGGCUGAAGCCCUUUGAUCUUGGCUUCAUUUGGAUACAUUUCAAGGGUACAACAUGAUGGCAAGGUAUGAACCAACACAGAUGGGUUCAGUUUCCAAGUGUGAUGAUGGAGAUGGAAACGGGCAAGAGGAGCUGCAGGGAAGGUGUGGAGAAGCACGCAUGUACAGGACUGGUGAUCCCCGCGGGCGUGGCACCUGUAAACAAGACUAGAAACAGACAUUGAACAUAAGUGGUGUGGAAUAAUGUUAAGCUUCUCUGAUGGGUCCUAAAUGGUUGAAGAACACCCCUCAAGAGAUGGGAAGAUUCUAAGAGCCAGAGAGAAUGGAUUACUCCAAGGCAACACAAUGGGACUGAUGACCACAUGAACUCUUAGAGACUGUAGCAGCUUGCACCAGGCCUGUACAGGUUCAAGCCAGAUGGGGUUCCAGCACUGAGAGGGGAAUUGGACAUGGACGUCUACUCCUUACUAAGAAGCUCUCUGCAACUGAUACCGACUUGCAAAGGAAAAUAGUUUUCUCCAAUGAAGUACCACUGAGUAUAUUAACCAUACUUCAAGGUAUGUGGAGCCUGACUGUGAAACUCACAUAAGACCUAUGCAACCAUGAGUAACUCCACUUCUGGAUAAUCCAGUGCCUUCUUUCUGACCGCCACAGGCAUGAGGUAGUGUGCAUUUUCUCCUGAACUGCCACCUAAUGUGCACACAUGGCUCAGCCUUCUGCAAACUUUUGGCCAAGGGAGAAAGCUCAGAGCUUGGCUGAUAUGCUGGACUCCCCAAAGUCUCCAGGUCUCCAGGGACGGUGCCUGUAACUUACCUGAAGAGGAACUGGUAGACAAGUCAUCUGAAAACAACUGAGGAAUCCUGCCCUGACCUAUCAGCUGUCUGCUGCCUCCCAACUCUUGCAGCCUUGGGAGAGGCACAUUCACUUGGAAAUGUGAUGAACAGGUGUCCAUUUACUUUGGAUUCAGGCCAAAGAGUCAAGCCAAUGUCAUUUGUAAGGCACAAUCAUUUUAAGUUCAGACCCAUGAAGAUCUUUUCUUGUACUUUUGUCUGAAUUAGAGAAACAACUUAAGCUGUCGUGCUUGGGGACAUUACUUUGAGAAAGCUACUUUGGAGGCACAACUCCCUAGGGUAAAGAAGAAAUAGCUUCCCGUCUUCCUAUGCAGGAAACUGCUGAAAUAGCUGACUCUACCCUCAAAGUUUAGAGUUCAUGUUCUCUGUGCACUUGGGUCCAUAUGUUCAAAGUGGCUUGGGAAAUAAUUUAUCAGUAGUUAACAUCCCUUUCCUAUCAGCUGUUUCCAGGAAAAAAAGCUAAUGUUGAGCAAUGGAAGUUGUUUCAACCUACAUCU